Molecule: ribosomal RNA, 1456 nt
Filed under: uncultured marine bacterium
Lineage: Bacteria
Description: 16S ribosomal RNA
Rfam family: Bacterial small subunit ribosomal RNA
Source: RNAcentral
GAUGAACGCUGGCGGCGUGCUUAACACAUGCAAGUCGAACGAACCUUCGGGUUAGUGGCGGACGGGUGAGUAACGCGUGAGAAUCUGCCCUCAGGAGGGGGAUAACGGUUGGAAACGACCGCUAAUACCCCACAUGCCGAUAGGUGAAAUGAAUUUCGCCUGAGGAUGAGCUCGCGUCUGAUUAGCUUGUUGGUGAGGUAAUGGCUCACCAAGGCUUCGAUCAGUAGCUGGUCUGAGAGGAUGAUCAGCCACACUGGGACUGAGACACGGCCCAGACUCCUACGGGAGGCAGCAGUGGGGAAUUUUCCGCAAUGGGCGAAAGCCUGACGGAGCAACGCCGCGUGAGGGACGAAGGCCUCUGGGCUGUAAACCUCUUUUCUCAAGGAAGAAGAUAUUACGGUACUUGAGGAAUAAGCCACGGCUAAUUCCGUGCCAGCAGCCGCGGUAAUACGGGAGUGGCAAGCGUUAUCCGGAAUUAUUGGGCGUAAAGCGUCCGCAGGCGGCCUUUCAAGUCUGCUGUUAAAGCGUGGAGCUUAACUCCAUUAUGGCAGUGGAAACUGAUCGGCUUGAGUAUGGUAGGGGCAGAGGGAAUUCCCGGUGUAGCGGUGAAAUGCGUAGAUAUCGGGAAGAACACCAGUGGCGAAGGCGCUCUGCUGGGCCAUUACUGACGCUCAUGGACGAAAGCCAGGGGAGCGAAAGGGAUUAGAUACCCCUGUAGUCCUGGCCGUAAACGUUGAACACUAGGUGUCGGGGGAAUCGACCCCUUCGGUGUCGUAGCUAACGCGUUAAGUGUUCCGCCUGGGGAGUACGCACGCAAGUGUGAAACUCAAAGGAAUUGACGGGGGCCCGCACAAGCGGUGGAGUAUGUGGUUUAAUUCGAUGCAACGCGAAGAACCUUACCAGGGUUUGACAUCCUGAGAACCUCUUAGAAAUUUGAGGGUGCCUUCGGGAAUUCAGUGACAGGUGGUGCAUGGCUGUCGUCAGCUCGUGUCGUGAGAUGUUGGGUUAAGUCCCGCAACGAGCGCAACCCACGUUUUUAGUUGCCAGCAUUUAGUUGGGCACUCUAGAAAGACCGCCGGUGAUAAACCGGAGGAAGGUGUGGAUGACGUCAAGUCAUCAUGCCCCUUACACCCUGGGCUACACACGUACUACAAUGCUACGGACAAAGGGCAGCAAACUCGCGAGAGCUAGCAAAUCCCAUAAACCGUGGCUCAGUUCAGAUCGUAGGCUGCAACUCGCCUACGUGAAGUAGGAAUCGCUAGUAAUCGCAGGUCAGCAUACUGCGGUGAAUACGUUCCCGGGCCUUGUACACACCGCCCGUCACACCAUGGAAGUUGGCCAUGCCCGAAGUCGUUACUCCAACCCUUGUGGAGGAGGACGCCGAAGGUGGGGCUAAUGACUGGGGUGAAGUCGUAACAAGGUAGCCGUACCGGAAGGUGCGGCUGGAUCACCUCCU